Molecule: long non-coding RNA, 1340 nt
Filed under: Ursus maritimus (polar bear)
Lineage: Eukaryota; Metazoa; Chordata; Mammalia; Carnivora; Ursidae
Description: lncRNA (ENSUMAG00000015819.1)
Source: RNAcentral
CGACGCGGCGCGGCCGGCACAGGUACUUGUUAAAGUGGAAUUCCUUCUCCAACUCCAGCAGUUGCGUGUUGGUGUAAGCCGUGCGCAGCCUGCGCGCCCCGCUGCCGGCGGGCCCCGGCAGUCCCGGGCCAUCUGCAGGGAGAGCGGGCUGGGCGUCAGAGCGGGCCGGGUCCCCGGCCCAAGCUCAUUCAGCCGAAGUGAAGACCACCCCAUCCGCCAAAAACAACAUCAGCAGUACCCCCCCCGCGCGCUUCCCGCCUACCCGAGCCGUUCGCUCCCACUGCUUUCCCGUUCUUUCCCGGCCCCCUCUCGGCGGCAGCCUCGGCCCGGGUCAGGGCAAAGCAUUCAGAGAGCCGCCCACGGACCAUGCAGGGGUUAGGGAGCGGCUCCCUUUUGCCCCCAAAACCUCAGAGCCUCCCUCCUGAGUCCUUGGAGUAGACCCCUCAAUUCAGCACUUUCGAGCUCAACCCAGAGAGAGGGUUCAUUAAGAAAGAUUGUUCCUCGCCUCCUUUCCUCCCUUGCUUUCAAAUUCCCCUCUUUUAGAGUUGGGGGAGAUGGGGCCGAACCUUUUCCUUGCCCCCAGAUUCAACAAUCCAGUAACACCACUUUCAUUCCUCUACACAGAUAAAGGUGAAAACCUAAAUCAAAUCCUUUUCUUCUGGCAGAGAAAAAGCUCUUCCCCAACCAGCUUCCAGAAUCUGCUAUAGUGGAAAAAAAAAAAAAAAUGCUGGCAGCGGCCAGGCCUGAACCCCAGCAGUAUUUUCCGCUUCCUCUUCCCUGGAAUCAACGGGGAGAAUUGCAAAGGGAAAAAAAAUCAAGAUUUGGAGGAAUUACCCACAGAGAUGGAAGUCCGAGGGUGGCUGAUUGCUCUGUUCCCUUUGAUUUCUCCAAAAGAAGCAAAGAAGAGAGAAACUGGAUAACUGCUGGACUUUUCUACCAAGAGAUUCGAAAGUGCUUCCUGAAUGAGAACAUCUUUUCCCAGGGCAAAAAAGAAAGUCAACAGAGCAAUCAGAACAAUAUUAUUCUCUGGGUUGGAAACAGGGUACCUUGUUUACUGAAGUUUUCCAAGGCAAAAAAAAAAAAAAUCAUUGUUUUAAUGCAGACUCUUCAAACUGCAGAAAAAAUAAAUCUUCAAGCUGUCAUAGGAUUUUGUGUAUUUCUUCUAAAACUUCUGACUGCAUUUUUUUUUCUCCCUGUCUUCCCGCAUCUCUCACCAUCGCAUUUCAUAAAACCUCCAGAGUGACCCUGUCUUCUGACAUGUGAGUUUGGACUACUUAAAUCUCAUUCAGCCCAGCUGGUCAACUCCAAAGAAAACUAAAAAUAGGAAAAUAAAAUAAAAG